UAAUGAAAAGGAUUCUUUAUU
This 21-nucleotide non-coding RNA is filed under the name Caenorhabditis elegans. The record is from RNAcentral. Lineage: Eukaryota; Metazoa; Nematoda; Chromadorea; Rhabditida; Rhabditidae.